RNAcentral lists this long non-coding RNA (2443 nucleotides) under Bos taurus (domestic cattle). RNAcentral describes it as "long non-coding RNA NONBTAT029107". The stretch from base 1567 to 1638 matches the Rfam family "tRNA". Lineage: Eukaryota; Metazoa; Chordata; Mammalia; Artiodactyla; Bovidae. The record is from RNAcentral.
CUUCACCUCCUUAAAUUCUUCUUAGAUAAAAUGCAUUACAUGCCAGUGGAAUUGAGUCAAUACAAUUAGUCUAGCCUUUCUAACUAGUAGAAGCCUGUUUUAAAUCUCUCUUUUAUGAAACCAUCAUAAUGGAAAGGAGUUUUUUUACCUUGUGUUUUUUGGUGUUGGUCUACUCUGUUUCAAAUCAAUUCAGUCAGUGAAUAUUUAUUGAGAGCCUGUUGUGUUUUAAGCUUUUUUGUAGUGCCUGAGAAGAAAGCAAUGAGAACAAAAAUCUUUUUUCUUUGGGGCUUACGAACUGAUUAGGGGUGGAUUGGGCGGAGAUGUGGAGGUGGUGGUGGUGAGAAUGUAGUAGUAAGACUGUGAAUAAAUAUUAAAUAAAUCCUCUCUUAUUUAGUGUGGAGUUUUGAGCAGGAAGCUCUUUGAUCUUUAGUUUUCUCAUCUUUACCAUGGGUGUAAUGAUUCCUUUUCUACCUAGUUUGAAUUGUUUCCAGAAUCAAGUAGGAUAAAAAUUUGGUUACAUUGUACCUUUCCACAUUCCUGUGGUAAGUUAUUGUUACUACUAUUAGAAAAGGAAAAGGAACAUUGGGGGAAAGUUGUUUGUAAAGAAAAGACAGAAUGGCUGGAUUCUCUGUUCUGAGAGAACCUGAUGUCCCAUUGGUAAACCUUCUGUGACUGUUAGACACGUCUUCACCCAGGGCUACCAUAAGUCUUCAUGUAGGCCUUUUUAAACAGCACGAUCAAAUAAGACCGUUAUUCUUCUAUAUUGUUAACAGUUAUUAAUCUAACUGUCUUAAUGUCAGGUGCCAUGCCCUAGUCUACAUCCUUACUGCUUAGCACAUGGCUUAGGUAUUGCACUGGAACUUCAUAAAUGUUUGGUGAAUGAGUGAAUGAGUAACAAAAAUAGACAACAGUUGAGUGCCAAAAUGGAUCUUUUACUCAGCAGAUAUUUUUGUUUUGCCUAUCAUGUGCUUGGACUGGGGUUCUAUCCCAGCGGUACAAAGAUGUGAAGGUAUAGCUUCUGCCUUAAAGCUCACAACAUUACAGCACCUAGUAGUCUGGUGAGUGUUAAAUAGGGGUGUGCUGUAUUGAUGCGAUAAGGGACUGAAUGAUUCUGUUCUGGUAGACAGUGAAAGAAGGCAUUAGACAGGAAGUAAUUUUUUUUUUUUUUUUGUGCUUGUUCUGGAAGGAUUAAUAAGAAAAGUUACUGUUAAAAGUUAUUCCAGCCAGAGGGGGCAGUUUGAGCAUAGGAAUGGAGAUGCUAAAGUAUAAGGUGUGUGUCUGAUAUGGCUAAAGGUAAUUACAGUUGGUUUUUACUUUCUUUUUUUUUUUAAUUCAGAUACUCCUCUCCAUCUAGAAAAUUCGAGAAUAGCAAUAGAUUUUUCAUCCCAGAAAAAUGCAUAUGAGCAAGCAUAUGCACAUCAUUCUAGAAAGUUAUGCAGUUCUUAGGAAUCUCUGGACCAGUGGGACUGAGAGUUGAAAAGUGCAAUGGCUGGUGAAAGGAACAGUUGAUGGCUGGAUACUGAGAACGAUUCUGAAUGCUUGUUGAAGACUUCAGGCUAUGGGACUUCCCUGGUGGCUCAGUGGUUAGGGUUUAGCACUUUCGGUGCUGUGGCCUGGGUUCAAUCUCUGGUCAGGGAACUAAGAUCCUGAAAAUCGUGCAAAGGCUUGGCCAAAAAAAAAAAAAAAUGACGUUAGCCUUUAUGAUUAAUGAAUUGCUAAACCAUCAAAAGUUUAUUAGCAGGAAAUUGAUAUAAUCUGAUCUGUUUUGACAGGUAAUUGUUUGCUAUUUUCAGGAUAGUUUAGAGGGUUUAGGAGCAUAUUUAGAAUAAGUGCUAAAUAGGAGGUAGGAUUGAGGGCUUUUGUUUUUUUUCGGUUUUGUUUUGAUUUUAAAGGAUGAGAGAGACUUGACAUGCUUAAGGAAAAGAAAAGGAGCCAGCAGAGAAGCAGGUAUUGAAGUUCUACACACAAGAAAAGGAAGAGAAUAGAGAAACCUUGGGAAGAGAUAAAAUCAAAGCUCAUAGAGAGGUGAUCCUUGAAAAGGAAACAUGAAGAAAGGAUGGAAGAAGAUAUAUUUGGAAAUGAUCAAGGUGGAAGUUGAAUUUGGAGUGGGUUACCAACAGCUGAUUUUUAAUUCGUUACAAAAUUGUUUCUGUUUUUGGUUCUUUUUUUUUUUUUUUGGCUGAGAGACACCUGGGAUCUCAUCUCCCCAGCCAGGGAUUGAACCUGGACUCACUACACUGGAAGAAAAAGUCUUAACCACUGGACUGCCAGGGAAGUCUUCCCAUCAGCCUGUUUUGUACCCAGACAGUGAUCCCUCCAGGCUCCUCUGUCCGUGGGAUUCUCCAGGCAAGAAUACUAGAGUUGGCUGUCGUGCUCUCCUCCAAGGGAUCUUCCUGACUCAGAGAUGGAGCCCAUGUCUCGUGUGUCUCCUGCAUUGACAGGU